RNAcentral lists this ribosomal RNA (411 nucleotides) under uncultured Sphingobacteriales bacterium. RNAcentral describes it as "bacterial SSU rRNA". It matches the Rfam family "Bacterial small subunit ribosomal RNA", at positions 966 to 1382 of the family's 1533-position model. Lineage: Bacteria; Pseudomonadati; Bacteroidota; Sphingobacteriia; Sphingobacteriales. The record is from RNAcentral.
GACUACUGGCUUAAAUGGGGAGUGACAGCUGUCGAAAGAUGGUUUUCUUUCGGUACACUCUUCAAGGUGCUGCAUGGUUGUCGUCAGCUCGUGCCGUGAGGUGUCGGUUAAGUCCCAUAACGAGCGCAACCCUUACCGUUAGUUUACCAUCAGGUUAAGCUGGGGACGUCUAGCGGGACUGCCACCGUAAGGUGAGAGGAAGUGGGGAUGACGUCAAAUCAGCACGGCCCUUAUGUCCAGGGCUACACACGUGUUACAAUGGCCAGUACAAAGGGCAGCUACCGGGUGGCCGGAUGCUAAUCUCUAAAGCUGGUCUCAGUUCGGAUCGAAGUCUGCAACCCGACUUCGUGAAGCUGGAUUCGCUAGUAAUCGCGCAUCAGCCAUGGCGCGGUGAAUACGUUCCCGGGCCUU